UGAAUUUGAUUUAACACUGAUCUGAGAUUUAAAUCAAAUUCCUUAGUGCAAAUCAUUGAUGUAAUUCCCACAACUAACAUCCAACAGGACCAACAUAUCAGUUUGAUCACUAACAAUAACUUACAAGAAACCACUUAGGAAGCCCAGUUCUUGCCUUGACCCAUUUGAUCUUAUUUUUAUUAUUUUGUUUUUCUCAGAGCAAUUAUGAGCAGAAAAUUAGAUAGAGGAAGAAGAAUUUUGUAUGCAAAGAAAGAGGAAAAGGGAAGAAGAAGAAGAGAUGCGGCAGAAAAUGAAGAAAAGAGAGGAAGGUGAGAGAAAGGCUAAGAUGGGAGCAUACACAGGUGAGAGAAGACACAGGGUAAUUGGAGAUAAGAAAGAACUUACCGACAAGAAUUUCCGGUGGUCGGAGGAAACGGGAAAAGUAUGAUGAUUUUUAUGUUUGAAUUUUAUUUUUAUUUUUGAUUUUAAUUAUUUUUAAUCUAUCAUGUGACAUGACAUCUACACAUUGUUAUUUUCUGACGUGGCAGCCAACAUGGAGGAGAUUGUAUUAAGACAACCUCCUGUCAUAAGCGUUUAUUAUAUACGGUUUGAAGGA
Molecule: non-coding RNA, 595 nt
Organism: Nicotiana tabacum (common tobacco)
Lineage: Eukaryota; Viridiplantae; Streptophyta; Magnoliopsida; Solanales; Solanaceae
Source: RefSeq, a predicted model, not a curated record